AUACGACGUUAUAUUGAUGUACGUAAAUAAAUAAAUAGCGGUAACAAGAGACAUAAGACACGAAGGCCCAUUAGCUCAGUUGGUUAGAGCGUCGUGCUAAUAACGCGAAGGUCGCAGGUUCGAAACCUGCAUGGGCCAAUUUUAUAUUUAUUUUAGGGAUGCGAAAAUCACGAAAUUCGGCGCAACGUAUACAAUACUGCAGAGAUACCUUCGGUGAAAUAUCCAACGGUUUUCGUCGGCUUAGUUGUCGUAAAGCC
RNAcentral lists this transfer RNA (257 nucleotides) under Medicago truncatula (barrel medic). RNAcentral describes it as "lncRNA gene43259". The stretch from base 65 to 138 matches the Rfam family "tRNA". Lineage: Eukaryota; Viridiplantae; Streptophyta; Magnoliopsida; Fabales; Fabaceae. The record is from RNAcentral.